RNAcentral lists this ribosomal RNA (497 nucleotides) under uncultured bacterium. RNAcentral's name for it is "partial 16S ribosomal RNA". It matches the Rfam family "Bacterial small subunit ribosomal RNA", at positions 28 to 507 of the family's 1533-position model. The record is from RNAcentral.
GAUGAACGCUGGCGGCGUGCCUAAUACAUGCAAGUCGAGCGAACAGACGAGGAGCUUGCUCCUCUGACGUUAGCGGCGGACGGGUGAGUAACACGUGGAUAACCUACCUAUAAGACUGGGAUAACUUCGGGAAACCGGAGCUAAUACCGGAUAAUAUAUUGAACCGCAUGGUUCAAUAGUGAAAGACGGUUUUGCUGUCACUUCUAGCUGGAUCCGCGCCGCAUUAGCUAGUUGGUAAGGUAACGGCUUACCAAGGCAACGAUGCGUAGCCGACCUGAGAGGGUGAUCGGCCACACUGGAACGGAGACACGGUCCAGACUCCUACGGGAGGCAGCAGUAGGGAAUCUUCCGCAAUGGGCGAAAGCCUGACGGAGCAACGCCGCGUGAGUGAUGAAGGUCUUCGGAUCGUAAAACUCUGUUAUUAGGGAAGAACAAAUGUGUAAGUAACUAUGCACGUCUUGACGGUACCUAAUCAGAAAGCCACGGCUAACUACGUG